Molecule: long non-coding RNA, 2381 nt
Organism: Astatotilapia calliptera (eastern happy)
Lineage: Eukaryota; Metazoa; Chordata; Actinopteri; Cichliformes; Cichlidae
Source: Ensembl
CCUGCUCCUCCUGCAUCCCUACAAGAGGCCGGUCUAACGCAAGAUCCACUGGGAGCCACUCAGACGACAGAUCCAUCCCCGGACCCUCCCACUCCCAGAGAGGAAUCCACAGAGCUGCCUUUACUUGAUCACCUGCGCUGAGUCUGCACUAUUGACAGUUUCUACAGUGAAAGCACACCGCAGUUGAAUGUGGACCGGUCCAGUCCGGACUCAUUCCAGCCUUUGGGACUCAUUCCAUGAACUGUUGUUGAACUAACUCAGCGCAGCCACAGUUUGGAAGUCCUCUGAUGGCACUUUGAAUCAAGCGUGGAUCUGGGAAUAUACACAUCACUCUUCUUGUUAGUCAAGAGAGAGCUAAACAUAGCAUGCUGAGCUGAUGCACGUCAGACCAUGAAAUCAUUUUAGCCAACCUGUUUAUUCCAAAGUCAGCUUUCAUCACAACUCGUAAGACCUGAUGAUGUACUCAUUUUUAAUUUUACAUUUUUUUCUUUUCCUGACUGAGCACUCGCUGUCUCUACAGCCAACCAUUUGGUUGUAAAAGUAAUGACAGGCCAGACAGGCCAGUGCAACUUAUAAGGGAUAUUUUGCUUGAGGAUUGUUUAUUUUUCUAUACUGGAGACUAGAGGACAAUCUCUAACUUGACGUCUGCAGCAGCAUUAGGUUUUUUUUCUUUUUGUUUGGGGGGCCUCAUAAUAAAUCCAGAAAAAGAAAAAGGACCAGUACAUUGCUGUACGUGCAACUAAAGGACGCGUGGAGACCACAAUAAGCCUUGUUUUUGUUUUCCCCCCACAUGUAACCAUCCUCGCCGGACAGUUGUGCAUCAAACAAUAUUUCACAUGACAUAUUGGCUAAUUUCAGGAGCCUCCACUUCUUUUCCCCUGCACAAAUACACAUAUUAUAUGAGGAAGAAGAAGAAAAUAAAACAAGAAAACAUUAUUCUUGUACUCUGGCCCAUUUUCCUGCAGAGGUGCCUGACUAUAUCAACAGUUCUGUCUUGGAGCAAGUUUCAGGGAACACCCCCACCCCCCCCAAACAAAAAACAAACUCCCUUCCAGCCCAGCUGACAUGUGGUGCUUUUACUGCUAGUUUACAGCGUAUGUAGGCUUGGACAUCGUGGAGUCCUGUAUCUGACUAGCAACCUGGAGAACUUCAGACAGAGCUGGUUUCCAUUAAUCAGGAUCAAACAGAGGACGAGUCAAAUCUGUGAAAAAUUGUGUUGAUCACAAAUUCACAAGCUGGGAGUGUAAGGAACUUUUUUUUUUAAUCCUCUUUUUUUUUUUUUGCUUUGGUGAGUGGAAUGUCUUCUAUUUUUUGUUUUUUACUUGAAUCUUCACGAAUCCCUCGGUGUCAAAUGUGCACUGAGUUUGUUUUCUUUGGAUUACUGAUCACUAAUGUCCUCCCUGAUCAGAUCCAAUCAGCUCAUGGCUUUCUGAAUAGCCGGGGUCCAGGCUGCUUUGUGAGGAGAGCUGUGUUUGCUAGGGAUGCACUGAUGUCUAAAAUAACAGUUUGUCUGAUACCCAUAUAUAUUUUUAGCUGCUUGUUUUUCUUUUGUUUUUUAAGUUACUUAUCCUCCUUUUGCACCAGGGAAACAAAAGACGUCUUCAUUAUGAAACUAUUUUAAGUCCUCCUCCUCCAUCAUGCUGUUGAUGUGACACUACCGACAACCAUUAGCCACUGGUUAACUGACCAUGUGAUUGGCUGAUACAUCAGUGUAUCCCCAGUGUGCUCUUUGCCUGCAGUCUGGGCCUUUCUGUUACUAUACUACUGCUUCUGCAUCUCCUGCUACUACUACUAUAAUACCCACUACUACUGCUGUUUCUACAACAGUUAAAUCCAGCGUUUUAGUUGGAAAUAAACAAAAGCUGAAUAAAUACUGAAAGCAAAGGUGGAAUAUUUAUUUGAUAAUGUCUUACAGAUGUCUUUAACGGGGUUUGUCUAUAUGGUGUGUUGAUAUAUUGAGUUGGAAAUCUGCCUUCUGUCUACCCUCCCGCCCCCUCCCCUCAGUUUGUUUGGUGUCGUCACGUUUGCACCAUCUCACCAACGGCUCUUUUUGGUUAUUUUUAAGUGUGGAACAUAACUGGAAGUGUUCCUGAAAUCGCUUUAAGUUUGUUUCUUUUCCCACGCCUUUAUUUUUAUUAUUUUUUUACCACUGUGAAAAGCAGAAAACGGGAGAGUUUCAUAAAACAAAAAAUAAAAGAAAAACUUGCAGUUCUGUCAAAAAAUUUUAGCCCCAGAAGUUUCCCCGGGUCCACUGGCUUUGUCCCCGACGGUUUCCGGCUCUUCGCACUGGGUGAAGAAUUCUUAAACGACCUCGUGCCAUAGCAUGAAUCGCCAUAUGCUGCUUUUUCCUCAUAAAUGAUUUGUUUGGGUUUUGGGGGGUU